Molecule: long non-coding RNA, 973 nt
Organism: Varroa destructor (honeybee mite)
Lineage: Eukaryota; Metazoa; Arthropoda; Arachnida; Mesostigmata; Varroidae
Source: RefSeq, a predicted model, not a curated record
CCUUGCUUAAAGGGCAGCGGCUGGUGGCACUACGAUGAUAGGCGGCAAUAACUAAGAGAUCAGGUGAUUUGGUCAUCGUUCCUUCUACCCAAGUGCACCGCAUUUACUUGGCUACAGCAGGGCUAAUAGAGCGAACUGCCUGCGUUUUCUGGUCCGGUUUUAAUGACGCUGGAGUGCUCUCCUUCCCGCCACCCCACAGCUUCAGCACUCGCGCACUACCCCUAACUUAUACUCUAAGCUGCCGCAGUUUCUCUCAUACCGCUGGAUGCCUUUUGACAAACGCAGCCAAUUCGCUAUAGAGCGGCAGUAGCGUUGACUUCAAGGUGAAACUGAUCUGGAUGCUCCAAAUGAAUAAAGGUUACCAGGCGAUGAUGAUACUGCAGGAAAAGUGAUGACAACGCGGGAUGGUCGAAAACGAAUGAAGCGCAUUCGGCGUUUAAUAGAACGACAGGAGCGAAGCGGAGCGAGUAAUCCUUUAUUUGGGACGACGUAUUUAUUUGAGCGUAAUUUGAAAGCAGAUGAAGUAUUUAUUUAAAAUUUUUUCUGUCCAACAAAACUCAUCGGGCAUAUGGUUCGAAUGAUCUUUAAUAGCGGAUAAGUGUAUUCGAUAUGCUUUCUAAUUCUAGCUCACAAGCUUGAUCUAAUAAAACGAGAGCUCUGCCCUUCGUGAGUAUAUAUAAGCUACUGUAGAUAGCUACAGCUAAUUAUAUAUUACCUUUGUGAUACUAGGGGGAAAACAGUAAAAUAUUAGCUUGGUAAAACCUUAUCGUUGUUACUUUUAUCGUUUUUCGUUCGUUUAAAUUUUUCACUUCCUAAUGGCCAGGUAUGUGCCGUUUACCAUUUUAAUUAUUUUGUGCGUAUCACUAAGUUUUACACUAUAUCACAAUUUAACGUAACUGUACUGGUACCAAAAUGCGACAACCAAAAUCGAAAUGUACAAUGUAACAUAACAAAUUGAAACCAAGAAAGAAAA